Scatophagus argus is the source of this 1044-nucleotide non-coding RNA. The record is from the annotation of a RefSeq genome assembly. NCBI's taxonomy places the organism in Eukaryota, Metazoa, Chordata, Actinopteri, Scatophagidae.
CAUGACUUUGAUCUGCGUCCUCAUCUGGACUCUCCUCUGCUGCUGCUUCACAGAGUCCAGAGGACAGGUCACAGUGACUCAGCAGCCUGCAGCAGUGACCUCUGCUAUUGGAGAAACCAUCUCCAUCAGAUGCCGGACCAGUCAGAAUGUUUAUAUUUGGAGCGGCUACCACUAUUUAUCCUGGUACCAACAGAGAGAUGGAGAAGCUCCUAAACUCCUCGUUUACGGUGCUAGCUAUCGAGCAUCAGGAAUUCCAAGUCGUUUUACAGGCAGUGGAUCAAACUCUGACUUCACUCUGACCAUCAGUGGAGUCCAGGCUGAAGAUGCAGCAGUUUACUACUGUAAUAGUUAUCAUGCUAUCAACAGUAAAGGUGUGUUCACACAGUGAAAAACGGUCGUACAAAAACCUCCCUCAGUCAGACUGAACAGAAACUGAACUGACUGCUGCAGCUGGAAGCUCCUGCAGAGACUGAUACACUUCACUGAGGACACACAGUGAACACACAAAACACUCUGAUUUUUAAUUAUUUUUCUCUGUUUUUCCAUAGUUAACUGCUCCACAACAUCACAAAUCAAUCUACAGAUGUUUUCAUAUGUGAAAUACUUCUCUAUCAUCAGUAUUUACAGACACCAAACACCACAGAACUACGACUUUCUAAAUCAAAGGCAAUAUGUGUUCUUCAAGUGAGAAAUAAUCUGGAGCCAAACGGAGGGAGAGAAAGAGAAGACAUAAACCAGCGGUCCCAGUGAUUAUAAUGGGAAACGUGAGGUCUUUGUAUGGGGAGGACAUCAAUAAGAUGACUGAGUACCUUAGAUUCUGUGAGGACACCACCAUGCCCUGGAUCUCCAUUGACUUGAAGGCACUCCUGAACAAGAAGAAGAGGGCUUUCAGGUCUGGAGACAGAGAGGAGCAGAGGAGGGUGCAGCAUGAACUCAGAGACAUACUGAGGACAUAUAAAGACAACUACAGGAGGAAACUGGAGGCCAAACUCCAACAGAACAGUGUGAGGGAUGUGUGGACAGGAAUGAAACACAUCACAGGGA